GGCAGUGGUAGCUCAGUGGUUAGUGUUGGACUACCAGUCAGAAGGUCAUGAGUUCAAAUCCCAGCACUGCCA
This is a non-coding RNA of Pangasius djambal, 72 nucleotides long. The record is from the annotation of a GenBank genome assembly. Lineage: Eukaryota; Metazoa; Chordata; Actinopteri; Siluriformes; Pangasiidae.